GACGAACGCUGGCGGCGUGCUUAACACAUGCAAGUCGAACGGAAAGGCCCUGCUUUUGUUGGGUGCUCGAGUGGCGAACGGAUGAGGAACACGUGAGUAGCCUGCCCUGGACUUUGGUAUAACUUCAGGGAACGGGGGCUAAUACCGUAUAGGAUCUCCUGCUGCAUUGUGGGGGUUGGAAAGGUUCGGCGGUUGGGUAGGGACUCGCGGCUUAUCAGCUUGUUGGUGGGGUAGUGGCGUAACAAGGCUUUGACGGGUAGCCGGCCUGAGAGGGUGACCGGCCACAUUGGGACUGAGAUACGGCGCAGAAUCCUGCGGGAGGCAGCAGUGGGGAAUAUUGCAAAAUGGGCGGAAGCCUGAUGCAGCAACGCCGCGUGCGGGAUGACGGCCUUCGGGUUGUAAACCGCUUUCGCCUGUGACGAAGCGUGAGUGACGGUAAUGGGUAAAGAAGCACCGGCUAACUACGUG
Molecule: ribosomal RNA, 468 nt
Filed under: uncultured bacterium
Lineage: Bacteria
Description: partial 16S ribosomal RNA
Rfam family: Bacterial small subunit ribosomal RNA
Source: RNAcentral